AUGUUACUUUACAAAACCGCUAGGACUAUCCGAAUAUUUCCUGUGGAUUUUUACAACGUGUGCAGAAACAGGCGUUAAAGGGAUUUGAAUAGAUUCAGCAACGGGAUGGCUUUUUUGAUCUAAAAGAGCAAACUAAGGGAGGGUUGAUUUAGCAGUUUUGUUUUGUUUGGAAAAUGGGUUAGUUUAGCUUUUUGGAUAUCUUUCAGAAAUGCUAAUUAUGGGUUGUAAAACGAGAAUGUUUGUUUUCUGUUUUUGCUUUUAUUAACUACUUAAUUAAUUAAUUGUUAAAGAUGUUUAUACGUUU
This 304-nucleotide long non-coding RNA is filed under the name Helianthus annuus (common sunflower). Its description in RNAcentral is "sRNA HanXRQr2_Chr17g0825841". Lineage: Eukaryota; Viridiplantae; Streptophyta; Magnoliopsida; Asterales; Asteraceae. The record is from RNAcentral.